CCUACGGGAGGCAGCAGUGGGGAAUAUUGCACAAUGGGCGGAAGCCUGAUGCAGCGACGCCGCGUGAGGGACGAAGGCCUUCGGGUUGUAAACCUCUUUCAGCAGGGACGAAGCGUGAGUGACGGUACCUGCAGAAGAAGCACCGGCUAACUACGUGCCAGCAGCCGCGGUAAUACGUAGGGUGCGAGCGUUGUCCGGAAUUACUGGGCGUAAAGAGUUCGUAGGCGGUUUGUCGCGUCGUUUGUGAAAACCCGGGGCUCAACUUCGGGCUUGCAGGCGAUACGGGCAGACUUGAGUGUUUCAGGGGAGACUGGAAUUCCUGGUGUAGCGGUGAAAUGCGCAGAUAUCAGGAGGAACACCGGUGGCGAAGGCGGGUCUCUGGGAAACAACUGACGCUGAGGAACGAAAGCGUGGGUAGCAAACAGGAUUAGAUACCCUGGUAGUCCACGCCGUAAACGGUGGGCGCUAGGUGUGGGUUCCUUCCACGGGAUCUGUGCCGUAGCUAACGCAUUAAGCGCCCGCCUGGGGAGUACGCGCAGCAACACAAGAAUAGACGCGNGAGACGNGCGACGCGACACGAGGAGAG
Molecule: ribosomal RNA, 586 nt
Filed under: uncultured bacterium
Lineage: Bacteria
Description: bacterial SSU rRNA
Rfam family: Bacterial small subunit ribosomal RNA (bases 1-523)
Source: RNAcentral